RNAcentral lists this ribosomal RNA (505 nucleotides) under uncultured bacterium. RNAcentral's name for it is "partial 16S ribosomal RNA". It matches the Rfam family "Bacterial small subunit ribosomal RNA", at positions 28 to 507 of the family's 1533-position model. The record is from RNAcentral.
GACGAACGCUGGCGGCGUGCCUAAUACAUGCAAGUAGAACGCACAGUUUAUACCGUAGCUUGCUCCACCAUAGACUGUGAGUUGCGAACGGGUGAGUAACGCGUAGGUAACCUGCCUGGUAGCGGGGGAUAACUAUUGGAAACGAUAGCUAAUACCGCAUAAUAUUAAUUAUUGCAUGAUAAUUAAUUGAAAGGUGCAAUUGCACCACUACCAGAUGGACCUGCGUUGUAUUAGCUAGUAGGUGAGGUAACGGCUCACCUAGGCGACGAUACAUAGCCGACCUGAGAGGGUGAUCGGCCACACUGGGACUGAGACACGGCCCAGACUCCUACGGGAGGCAGCAGUAGGGAAUCUUCGGCAAUGGACGAAAGUCUGACCGAGCAACGCCGCGUGAGUGAAGAAGGUUUUCGGAUCGUAAAGCUCUGUUGUAAGAGAAGAACGGGUGUGAGAGUGGAAAGUUCACACUGUGACGGUAUCUGACCAGAAAGGGACGGCUAACUACGUG